RNAcentral lists this unclassified non-coding RNA (222 nucleotides) under plant metagenome. Its description in RNAcentral is "partial contains small subunit ribosomal RNA and internal transcribed spacer 1". The stretch from base 1 to 46 matches the Rfam family "Eukaryotic small subunit ribosomal RNA", at positions 1786 to 1831 of the family's 1831-position model. The record is from RNAcentral.
AAGUCAUAACAAGGUUUUCGUAGGUGAACCUGCGAAAGGAUCAUUAAAAGAGAUUAGGCAUCGCCCAGCAAUGGGCUGCCGACCUCCAAACCUUUGAAUUACCAUCUGUGUUGCCACGGGGGAUUAACUAGAAGCCUUGAGAGAGGUGGAAGUCCCCGAUGGACCAUCCAAAACUCUUGUUUUUACCUACAGUCCGAGUCAUUUGAUUAAAUCAAAACAAAA